RNAcentral lists this long non-coding RNA (1126 nucleotides) under Manihot esculenta (cassava). RNAcentral describes it as "long non-coding RNA (MESC_LNC008629)". The record is from RNAcentral. Lineage: Eukaryota; Viridiplantae; Streptophyta; Magnoliopsida; Malpighiales; Euphorbiaceae.
UCCCUCUGUCAAAACUUGGCCCCGAAGGAGCUCUCAUGGGGCUUUCCUACAUGUACUCGCCCGAUUGACAAAGACUCAUUGACAGACUUGCGGGCUAUUGAGGUCGCCUUGGUCCACCCAUCACAUCAUAUACAUAGCACAUUAUGCAAUGCAUCACCUUCGUGAAACUAGUGCAAUCAUCCUAUAACAUAUAAACAUGGUGCAUGGGCAUGGUGAACUAGUGCAAACAUCCUAUUACAUAACAUGAUGUAUGAGUAUGCUUUAGGCAUUAGAUUUUCUUUUAAAGUAAAAGAUUUGGUUUAGUUCUACUCACCUGAAGCCUCUGCUCAACAAACUCAGGGUCAACUAGCACUGAAGCUAAACACCUCUCCUCAGGUCCAAUCCUACACAGAUGGACUCACAUGAGGUACUAAACACACUCUAACAAUUCAUAAGAAACUCCCCCAAAAACCCCUCUAAACAUCAUAGAAACAUGCAUAGAAAACAGCCAUGAAAAGGCUGGACAGGCACUUUCGGCGGCACCUUCGGCGGCCGAAAGUCUCCUCCAGAGACGAAACUCGGGUAGGUUCGGCGGCACCUUCGGCGGCCGAACCCUCUCUCCAGAAAUGAAAGUCAGGCACUUUCGGCGGCCGAACAUUACCUUCGGCGGCCGAAAGUCUGCUUUUAAGCCACAACUCAACUUUCGGGGGCAAGGUUAGGCGGCCAAACCAUGCAUCCAUAGGCAUGUUCGGCGGCCGAAACCACCUUCGGCGGCCGAACCUGAGUUCAGCAGAACUCAGCCUUUGCACACCAGCCUCCAAAACCUUCCAAAACACCCCAAACCUCACAUACUCUCUCCCAAGCAUGCAUACACACUCCCACAAGCAUAGAGAGCAAAGAAACUAGCUUAAACUCCUCAACACAACAUCACAUAACAUACAUUGGGCAUAAAACCCACAUAAACCCUUAACAUGCAUAUCUACCCAUUCCAACAUAAAACCUUCAUAAAACUUACUUAAAACUUCAUUAAAACUCAAGGGAAACCAAGAUCUACACUUACCUCUUGAAGAUCGAGGGUUGGUGCGAUCCCUAACUCGGAGGUGUGGAGAAUCCAAGCUCCAAAAGCUCCAAGCUCCCAAAACUUCUA